GAUCCUGGCUCAGAUUGAACGCUGGCGGAACGCUUUACACAUGCAAGUCGAACGGUAACGCGGAGAGAAGCUUGCUUCUCUCCGGCGACGAGUGGCGAACGGGUGAGUAAUACAUCGGAACGUGUCCGCUCGUGGGGGACAACCAGCCGAAAGGUUGGCUAAUACCGCAUGAGUUCUACGGAAGAAAGAGGGGGGACCCGCAAGGGCCUCUCGCGAGCGGAGCGGCCGAUGACUGAUUAGCCGGUUGGUGAGGUAACCGG
RNAcentral lists this ribosomal RNA (260 nucleotides) under uncultured bacterium. Its description in RNAcentral is "partial 16S ribosomal RNA". It matches the Rfam family "Bacterial small subunit ribosomal RNA", at positions 15 to 263 of the family's 1533-position model. The record is from RNAcentral.